This 2926-nucleotide ribosomal RNA is filed under the name Salmonella enterica subsp. enterica serovar Newport str. USDA-ARS-USMARC-1927. Its description in RNAcentral is "bacterial LSU rRNA". It matches the Rfam family "Bacterial large subunit ribosomal RNA". Lineage: Bacteria; Pseudomonadati; Pseudomonadota; Gammaproteobacteria; Enterobacterales; Enterobacteriaceae. The record is from RNAcentral.
GGGUUGUGAGGUUAAGCGACUAAGCGUACACGGUGGAUGCCCUGGCAGUCAGAGGCGAUGAAGGGCGUGCUAAUCUGCGAUAAGCGCCGGUAAGGUGAUAUGAACCGUUAUAACCGGCGAUACCCGAAUGGGGAAACCCAGUGUGAUUCGUCACACUAUCAUUACGUGAAUACAUAGCGUAAUGAAGCGAACCGGGGGAACUGAAACAUCUAAGUACCCCGAGGAAAAGAAAUCAACCGAGAUUCCCCCAGUAGCGGCGAGCGAACGGGGAGGAGCCCAGAGCCUGAAUCAGCAUGUGUGUUAGUGGAAGCGUCUGGAAAGGCGCGCGAUACAGGGUGACAGCCCCGUACACAAAAGCGCAUGUGUUGUGAGCUCGAUGAGUAGGGCGGGACACGUGGUAUCCUGUCUGAAUAUGGGGGGACCAUCCUCCAAGGCUAAAUACUCCUGACUGACCGAUAGUGAACCAGUACCGUGAGGGAAAGGCGAAAAGAACCCCGGCGAGGGGAGUGAAAAAGAACCUGAAACCGUGUACGUACAAGCAGUGGGAGCACCCUUUGGGGUGUGACUGCGUACCUUUUGUAUAAUGGGUCAGCGACUUAUAUUCUGUAGCAAGGUUAACCGAAUAGGGGAGCCGGAGGGAAACCGAGUCUUAAUUGGGCGUUAAGUUGCAGGGUAUAGACCCGAAACCCGGUGAUCUAGCCAUGGGCAGGUUGAAGGUUGGGUAACACUAACUGGAGGACCGAACCGACUAAUGUUGAAAAAUUAGCGGAUGACCUGUGGCUGGGGGUGAAAGGCCAAUCAAACCGGGAGAUAGCUGGUUCUCCCCGAAAGCUAUUUAGGUAGCGCCUCGUGAAUUCAUCUCCGGGGGUAGAGCACUGUUUCGGCUAGGGGGCCAUCCCGGCUUACCAACCCGAUGCAAACUGCGAAUACCGGAGAAUGUUAUCACGGGAGACACACGGCGGGUGCUAACGUCCGUCGUGAAGAGGGAAACAACCCAGACCGCCAGCUAAGGUCCCAAAGUCAUGGUUAAGUGGGAAACGAUGUGGGAAGGCCCAGACAGCCAGGAUGUUGGCUUAGAAGCAGCCAUCAUUUAAAGAAAGCGUAAUAGCUCACUGGUCGAGUCGGCCUGCGCGGAAGAUGUAACGGGGCUAAACUAUGCACCGAAGCUGCGGCAGCGACACUAUGUGUUGUUGGGUAGGGGAGCGUUCUGUAAGCCUGUGAAGGUGUGUCGUGAGGCAUGCUGGAGGUAUCAGAAGUGCGAAUGCUGACAUAAGUAACGAUAAAGCGGGUGAAAAGCCCGCUCGCCGGAAGACCAAGGGUUCCUGUCCAACGUUAAUCGGGGCAGGGUGAGUCGACCCCUAAGGCGAGGCCGAAAGGCGUAGUCGAUGGGAAACGGGUUAAUAUUCCCGUACUUGGUGUUACUGCGAAGGGGGGACGGAGAAGGCUAUGUUGGCCGGGCGACGGUUGUCCCGGUUUAAGCGUGUAGGUGUGUGUUCCAGGUAAAUCCGGUUCACUUUAACACUGAGGCGUGACGACGAGGCACUACGGUGCUGAAGCAACAAAUGCCCUGCUUCCAGGAAAAGCCUCUAAGCAUCAGGUAACAUCAAAUCGUACCCCAAACCGACACAGGUGGUCAGGUAGAGAAUACCAAGGCGCUUGAGAGAACUCGGGUGAAGGAACUAGGCAAAAUGGUGCCGUAACUUCGGGAGAAGGCACGCUGACACGUAGGUGAAGUGAUUUACUCAUGGAGCUGAAGUCAGUCGAAGAUACCAGCUGGCUGCAACUGUUUAUUAAAAACACAGCACUGUGCAAACACGAAAGUGGACGUAUACGGUGUGACGCCUGCCCGGUGCCGGAAGGUUAAUUGAUGGGGUCAGCGCAAGCGAAGCUCCUGAUCGAAGCCCCGGUAAACGGCGGCCGUAACUAUAACGGUCCUAAGGUAGCGAAAUUCCUUGUCGGGUAAGUUCCGACCUGCACGAAUGGCGUAAUGAUGGCCAGGCUGUCUCCACCCGAGACUCAGUGAAAUUGAACUCGCUGUGAAGAUGCAGUGUACCCGCGGCAAGACGGAAAGACCCCGUGAACCUUUACUAUAGCUUGACACUGAACAUUGAGCCUUGAUGUGUAGGAUAGGUGGGAGGCUUUGAAGCGUGGACGCCAGUCUGCGUGGAGCCGACCUUGAAAUACCACCCUUUAAUGUUUGAUGUUCUAACGUGGACCCGUGAUCCGGGUUGCGGACAGUGUCUGGUGGGUAGUUUGACUGGGGCGGUCUCCUCCUAAAGAGUAACGGAGGAGCACGAAGGUUGGCUAAUCCUGGUCGGACAUCAGGAGGUUAGUGCAAUGGCAUAAGCCAGCUUGACUGCGAGCGUGACGGCGCGAGCAGGUGCGAAAGCAGGUCAUAGUGAUCCGGUGGUUCUGAAUGGAAGGGCCAUCGCUCAACGGAUAAAAGGUACUCCGGGGAUAACAGGCUGAUACCGCCCAAGAGUUCAUAUCGACGGCGGUGUUUGGCACCUCGAUGUCGGCUCAUCACAUCCUGGGGCUGAAGUAGGUCCCAAGGGUAUGGCUGUUCGCCAUUUAAAGUGGUACGCGAGCUGGGUUUAGAACGUCGUGAGACAGUUCGGUCCCUAUCUGCCGUGGGCGCUGGAGAACUGAGGGGGGCUGCUCCUAGUACGAGAGGACCGGAGUGGACGCAUCACUGGUGUUCGGGUUGUCAUGCCAAUGGCACUGCCCGGUAGCUAAAUGCGGAAGAGAUAAGUGCUGAAAGCAUCUAAGCACGAAACUUGCCCCGAGAUGAGUUCUCCCUGAGACUUAAAGUCUCCUGAAGGAACGUUGAAGACGACGACGUUGAUAGGCCGGGUGUGUAAGCGCAGCGAUGCGUUGAGCUAACCGGUACUAAUGAACCGUGAGGCUUAACCUUACAACGCCGAAG